GCUGGGCGUGGUGGCGCAUGCCUGUAGUUCCAGCUACUUGGGAGGCUGAGGCAGGAGAAUCACUUGAACCAGGCAGUCGGAGGUUGCAGUGAGCUGAGAUCACGCCACUGCACUCCAGCCUGGCAACAGAGUGAGACUCUGUCUCAA
RNAcentral lists this non-coding RNA (147 nucleotides) under Nomascus leucogenys (northern white-cheeked gibbon). Lineage: Eukaryota; Metazoa; Chordata; Mammalia; Primates; Hylobatidae. The record is from Rfam by way of RNAcentral.